This 311-nucleotide ribosomal RNA is filed under the name uncultured eukaryote. RNAcentral describes it as "partial 18S ribosomal RNA". It matches the Rfam family "Eukaryotic small subunit ribosomal RNA", at positions 1470 to 1796 of the family's 1831-position model. The record is from RNAcentral.
CCCCUAGACGUUCUGGGCUGCACGCGCGCUACAAUAAUACGCACAGCGAGUAUCACCGAGCUCGAAAGGGCAAGGUAAACAAUAGAAAAGGUACUGUAAUGGUUAUAGAUCCUUGUAAUUAUUGAUCUUCAACGAGGAAUUCCUAGUAAGUAUGUGUCAUCAUCACGCACUGAUUACGUCCCUGCCCUUUGUACACACCGCCCGUCGCUCCUACCGAUUGGGUGAGCCGAUGAAACUCUCGGAUGUAGGCUAUUCAUAGCCCGCAGAAGAGGUUUGAAUCGUAGCGCUUAGAGGAAGGAGAAGUCGUAACA